RNAcentral lists this unclassified non-coding RNA (286 nucleotides) under Camarosporium sp. RNAcentral describes it as "partial contains 5.8S ribosomal RNA, internal transcribed spacer 2, and large subunit ribosomal RNA". The stretch from base 1 to 71 matches the Rfam family "5.8S ribosomal RNA", at positions 84 to 154 of the family's 154-position model. The record is from RNAcentral. Lineage: Eukaryota; Fungi; Ascomycota; Dothideomycetes; Pleosporales.
GUGAGUCAUCGAAUCUUUGAACGCACAUUGCGCCCCUUGGUAUUCCAUGGGGCAUGCCUGUUCGAGCGUCAUCUACACCCUCAAGCUCUGCUUGGUGUUGGGCGUCUGUCCCGCCUUCGUGCGUGGACUCGCCCCAAAUUCAUUGGCAGCGGUCCUUGCCUCCUCUCGCGCAGCACAUUGCGCUUCUCGAGGUGCGCGGCCCGCGUCCACGAAGCAACAUUACCGUCUUUGACCUCGGAUCAGGUAGGGAUACCCGCUGAACUUAAGCAUAUCAAUAAGCGGAGGA